Molecule: ribosomal RNA, 426 nt
Filed under: uncultured Paraglomeraceae
Lineage: Eukaryota; Fungi; Glomeromycota; Glomeromycetes; Paraglomerales
Description: bacterial SSU rRNA
Rfam family: Eukaryotic small subunit ribosomal RNA
Source: RNAcentral
GGGAGGUAGUGACAAUAAAUAACAAUACGGGGUUCUUUAGGAUUUCGUAAUUGGAAUGAGUACAAUUUAAAUCUCUUAACGAGGAACAAUUGGAGGGCAAGUCUGGUGCCAGCAGCCGCGGUAAUUCCAGCUCCAAUAGCGUAUAUUAAAGUUGUUGCAGUUAAAAAGCUCGUAGUUGAACCUUAGGCCCGUGCGGGUGGUCCGUCCUCAGGGCGAGCACUGCCUCGUCGCGGGUCUCACCUUCUGGCGAGCGCGGAUGCCAUUCAUUUGGUGCCCGCGGGAACCAGGACCUUUACCCUGAAAAAAUUAGAGUGCUCAAAGCGGGCUCAGACGCUUGAAUACAUUAGCAUGGAAUAAUGAAAUAGGACGAUGGUUCUAUUUUGUUGGUUUCCGGGACCGUCGUAAUGAUUAAUAGGGAUAGUUGGG